UGGGGAAUAUUGCACAAUGGGCGCAAGCCUGAUGCAGCCAUGCCGCGUGUAUGAACAAGGCCUUCGGGUUGUAAAGUACUUUCAGCGAGGAGGAAGGCGUUGUGGUUAAUAACCGCAACGAUUGACGUUACUCGCAGAAGAAGCACCGGCUAACUCCGUGCCAGCAGCCGCGGUAAUACGGAGGGUGCAAGCGUUAAUCGGAAUUACUGGGCGUAAAGCGCACGCAGGCGGUCUGUCAAGUCGGAUGUGAAAUCCCCGGGCUCAACCUGGGAACUGCAUCCGAAACUGGCAGGCUAGAGUCUUGUAGAGGGGGGUAGAAUUCCAGGUGUAGCGGUGAAAUGCGUAGAGAUCUGGAGGAAUACCGGUGGCGAAGGCGGCCCCCUGGACAAAGACUGACGCUCAGGUGCGAAAGCGUGGGGAGCAAACA
This 427-nucleotide ribosomal RNA is filed under the name uncultured bacterium. RNAcentral describes it as "partial 16S ribosomal RNA". It matches the Rfam family "Bacterial small subunit ribosomal RNA", at positions 355 to 774 of the family's 1533-position model. The record is from RNAcentral.